UACGUAGGGGGCAAGCGUUGUCCGGAUUUAUUGGGCGUAAAGAGCGUGUAGGCGGCUAGGUAGGUCCGUUGUGAAAACUCGAGGCUCAACCUCGAGAUGUCGGCGGAAACCAUCUGGCUAGAGUCCGGAAGAGGAGAGUGGAAUUCCCGGUGUAGCGGUGAAAUGCGCAGAUAUCGGGAAGAACGCCCGUGGCGAAGGCGGCUCUCUGGGACGGUACUGACGCUGAGACGCGAAAGCGUGGGGAGCGAACAGG
This 253-nucleotide ribosomal RNA is filed under the name uncultured bacterium. Its description in RNAcentral is "partial 16S ribosomal RNA". It matches the Rfam family "Bacterial small subunit ribosomal RNA", at positions 524 to 776 of the family's 1533-position model. The record is from RNAcentral.